UACGAAGGGGGCUAGCGUUGUUCGGAAUUACUGGGCGUAAAGGGUGCGUAGGCGGCCAUUUAAGUCUUGUGUGAAAGGCCCCGGCUUAACCGGGGAGCUGCAUGGGAAACUGCCAAGCUCGAGUGCCGGAGAGGAUAGCGGAAUUCCCGGUGUAGCGGUGAAAUGCGUAGAGAUCGGGAGGAACACCCGUGGCGAAGGCGGCCACCUGGGCCAACACUGACACUGAGGCACGAAAGCGUGGGGAGCAAACAGG
Molecule: ribosomal RNA, 253 nt
Filed under: uncultured bacterium
Lineage: Bacteria
Description: partial 16S ribosomal RNA
Rfam family: Bacterial small subunit ribosomal RNA
Source: RNAcentral